AGGGUUCGAUUAUGGCUCAGGAUGAACGCUAGCGGCAGGCUUAACACAUGCAAGUAGAACGGUAACAGUCCUUCGGGAGCUGACGACCGGCGAACGGGUGCGUAACGCGUAUGCAACCUACCUAUAACAGAGGGAUAGCCCAUAGAAAUGUGGAAUAAUACCUCAUAACAUAUUUGAAUGGCAUCAUUUAAAUAUUAAAGCUCCGGCGGUUAUAGAUGGGCAUGCGUGUCAUUAGUUAGUUGGUGAGGUAACGGCUCACCAAGACUCCGAUGACUAGGGGUUCUGAGAGGAUGAUCCCCCACACUGGUACUGAGACACGGACCAGACUCCUACGGGAGGCAGCAGUGAGGAAUAUUGGUCAAUGGACGCAAGUCUGAACCAGCCAUGCCGCGUGCAGGAAGACUGCCCUACGGGUUGUAAACUGCUUUUAUAUAGGAAGAAUGUUACCCACGUGUGGGUAUUUGACGGUACUAUAUGAAUAAGGAUCGGCUAACUCCGUGCCAGCAGCCGCGGUAAUACGGAGGAUCCAAGCGUUAUCCGGACUUAUUGGGUUUAAAGGGUCCGUAGGCGGGAAAUUAAGUCAGUGGUGAAAUCCUACAGCUCAACUGUGGAACUGCCAUUGAAACUGGUUUUCUUGAAUGUAGAUGAAGUGGGCGGAAUGUGUCAUGUAGCGGUGAAAUGCUUAGAGAUGACACAGAACACCGAUUGCGAAGGCAGCUCACUAACCUAUUAUUGACGCUGAGGGACGAAAGCGUGGGUAGCGAACAGGAUUAGAUACCCUGGUAGUCCACGCCGUAAACGAUGAUUACUCGACAUUGGCGAUAAACUGUCAGUGUCCAAGCGAAAGUGUUAAGUAAUCCACCUGGGGAGUACGAUCGCAAGGUUGAAACUCAAAGGAAUUGACGGGGGCCCGCACAAGCGGUGGAGCAUGUGGUUUAAUUCGAUGAUACGCGAGGAACCUUACCAGGACUUAAAUGUUUUCUGACAGGCUGGGAAACCAGUUUUUCUUCGGACAGAUGACAAGGUGCUGCAUGGCCGUCGUCAGCUCGUGCUGUGAGGUGUCGGGUUAAGUCCCAUAACGAGCGCAACCCCUAUUUCUAGUUGCCAGCGAGUAAUGUCGGGGACUCUAGAGAAACUGCCCGUGCAAACGGUGAGGAAGGUGGGGACGACGUCAGGUCAUCACGGCCCUUACGUCCAGGGCUACACACGUGCUACAAUGGUAGAGACAGAGGGCAGCCACCCGGUGACGGGGAGCUAAUCCUUAAACUCUAUCUCAGUUCGGAUUGAAGUCUGCAACUCGACUUCAUGAAGCUGGAAUCGCUAGUAAUCGCAUAUCAGCCACGAUGCGGUGAAUACGUUCCCGGGCCUUGUACACACCGCCCGUCAAGCCAUGGAAGCUGAGGGUACCUGAAGUCGGUAACCGCAAGGAGCCGCCUAGGGUAAAAUCGGUAACUAGGGCUAAGUCGUAACAAGGUAGCC
Molecule: ribosomal RNA, 1479 nt
Filed under: uncultured prokaryote
Description: partial 16S ribosomal RNA
Rfam family: Bacterial small subunit ribosomal RNA
Source: RNAcentral